AACGAACGCUGGCGGCAGGCCUAACACAUGCAAGUCGAGCGAGGACUUCGGUCCUAGCGGCGGACGGGUUAGUAACGCGUGGGAACGUGCCCUUUGCUUCGGAAUAGCCCUGGGAAACUGGGAGUAAUACCGGAUGAGCCCUUUGGGGGAAAGAUUUAUCGGCGAAGGAUCGGCCCGCGUUGGAUUAGGUAGUUGGUGGGGUAAUGGCCUACCAAGCCGACGAUCCAUAGCUGGUUUGAGAGGAUGAUCAGCCACACUGGGACUGAGACACGGCCCAGACUCCUCCGGGAGGCAGCAGUGGGGAAUCUUAGACAAUGGGGGAAACCAUGAUCUAGCCAUGCCGCGUGAGCGAUGAAGGCCUUAGGGUUGUAAAGCUCUUUCAGCUGGGAAGAUAAUGACGGUACCAGCAGAAGAAGCCCCGGCUAACUCCGUG
This 433-nucleotide ribosomal RNA is filed under the name uncultured bacterium. RNAcentral describes it as "partial 16S ribosomal RNA". It matches the Rfam family "Bacterial small subunit ribosomal RNA", at positions 29 to 507 of the family's 1533-position model. The record is from RNAcentral.